Molecule: non-coding RNA, 92 nt
Organism: Mycena rebaudengoi
Lineage: Eukaryota; Fungi; Basidiomycota; Agaricomycetes; Agaricales; Mycenaceae
Source: the annotation of a GenBank genome assembly
GCCUUCGUGGAUCAACGGUAGAUCCUCCACAUUUUGUAAACCUUGUUCCGACGAUUCUGUGGAUGAUGCGGGUUCGACUCCCACCGAGGGUA